This 1469-nucleotide long non-coding RNA is filed under the name Chloebia gouldiae (Gouldian finch). Its description in RNAcentral is "Erythrura gouldiae (Gouldian finch) lncRNA (ENSEGOG00005012668.1)". Lineage: Eukaryota; Metazoa; Chordata; Aves; Passeriformes; Passeridae. The record is from RNAcentral.
CUGGGAUACUGAGUCCCCUUGCUGGAGGCAAGAAUGCCUUCCUGUUGUAUUAGAUGGCAUCAGUCAGGUGUUUGCUGAUCUCCUGGGCUGGCUCUGAAAACCAUGGUCAUGGUCAAAGGGCUAAACUGGCCAGGGAGGAACAUUUUGAAGUUCAGCACAGGCAAGUGCAGGGUCCUUCAGCUGUGGAACGAGCCGGGCAGCAGCCCAGGCCGGGCUGCGGCUGGAAAAGCAGCUCUGUGGGAAGGAGCUGGGGGUGCUGGUGCACAGGAGCUGUCCGUGGGCACCACAAGGGCGCCGGUGUCCCGGGGGGAUGAGGAGAGCGUUUCCAGCGGGGCAGGGGUGAUGCUGCCCCUCUGCUCAGCCCCGGCCAGGCCUCCCCUGGAGCAGUGUCCGGGUCUGGGCUCCUCGGCAUGAGGGACACGGAGCUCCCGGAGCGGGUCCUGUGCAGGGCCACCAGGAUGGUCCGGGGACGGCAGCAUCUGUCCUGGGAAAGGCUGGGGGUGCUGGGGCUGUUCAUUCCACAGAAAGGGAACCAAGGGAGGGUGAUGCUGAGCAUCUUGGGAGUGGGGGGGAUCUGUGCCUCAGUUUCCCCAAGAAGAGCUGGGCUGGGAGGCUGGCUUGGGAAUCCUGAAUGCAGCCCAGUUUGGUAGCCAGCCCAUCCUCUCCUUCUCAGUCUGCCAUGAAGGAGAUGAUGCAGGGCGGACAAGGCUCAGACAAGCAGAAGAAUGUUGGCCUCAGGCACCUAGACUCGAAUGAAGACACAGAGCUGAUUGUCAUCGGCAACGAAAGUACCUCUGGGCACAGCUGGGGAGGGACCUGGAGGGUGUGAGGGCACAGCGGGCCGGGCACGGGGUCUGCAGGCUGCUGGUUGUCCCCCAGCCAUGUUCCCCCUGGCUCCCCUGACCCUGGGCAGCUCCCUCUGGUUUCUUCUUCCAGUUAUCCUUGUGGAAAAGCCCAGGACACCAAGGCAUGGGGAGAGCCCUCUGCCCCUCGAUGCCAAGGCACAGGGCAGAGGGAAGGAGGUGAAUGUGAGCAGCGACCUGGUCUCCACCACGGAAAAUGACACAGGCCAGAGCGUGGAACAGAGCGACAUGGGACAGAACAGGGGACGCAGUGGCAUGGCACGGAGGGGCAUGGGAUGGAGUAUGGGACAGGAUUACAUGGGACAGAGCGUGGGACAGAGGGACAUGAGACGAAAUGUGCAAUGGAGCGACGCAGAACAGAGUGACAUGGGGCAGGAUGGCAUGGGACAGAUCAAGGAUGAAGAGAUCGAGAUACGCGUCUCUACGGUAGAGGCUUUUCCCAGCCCCCUGGAUAGUCCCUCUGAGAUGACCAGCAUGGAGGAGAUCAAGGAAGAAGACACCAAGAUGAGCAUCUCCAAGGCUCCUCCCCACGUUCAGAAAAAGAGUUUGGAUGGCAGUUUCACCACCUCAGGAACCCAUCUGAGAGCGCCUGGCACCCACCUCCCA